Molecule: ribosomal RNA, 484 nt
Filed under: uncultured bacterium
Lineage: Bacteria
Description: partial 16S ribosomal RNA
Rfam family: Bacterial small subunit ribosomal RNA
Source: RNAcentral
GAUGAACGCUGGCGGCGUGCUUAACACAUGCAAGUCGAACGAUGAAGGGGGAGCUUGCUCCUCUGGAUUAGUGGCGAACGGGUGAGUGACACGUGAGCAAUCUGCCCCUGACUCUGGGAUAAGCGCUGGAAACGGCGUCUAAUACCGGAUACGAGCCGAGCAGGCAUCUGCAUCGGUUGGAAAGAACUUCGGUCAGGGAUGAGCUCGCGGCCUAUCAGCUUGUUGGUGAGGUAAUGGCUCACCAAGGCGACGACGGGUAGCCGGCCUGAGAGGGUGACCGGCCACACUGGGACUGAGACACGGCCCAGACUCCUACGGGAGGCAGCAGUGGGGAAUAUUGCACAAUGGGCGAAAGCCUGAUGCAGCAACGCCGCGUGAGGGACGAAGGCCUUCGGGUUGUAAACCCCUUUUAGCAGGGAAGAAGCGAGAGUGACGGUACCUGCAGAAAAAGCACCGGCUAACUACGUGCCAGCCGCCGCGGUAA